Molecule: ribosomal RNA, 450 nt
Filed under: uncultured bacterium
Lineage: Bacteria
Description: partial 16S ribosomal RNA
Rfam family: Bacterial small subunit ribosomal RNA
Source: RNAcentral
GUGGGGAAUCUUCCGCAAUGGACGAAAGUCUGACGGAGCAACGCCGCGUGAACGAUGACGGCCUUCGGGUUGUAAAGUUCUGUUAUACGGGACGAAUGGUACGACGGCCAAUACCCGUCGUAAGUGACGGUACCGUAAGAGAAAGCCACGGCUAACUACGUGCCAGCAGCCGCGGUAAUACGUAGGUGGCAAGCGUUGUCCGGAAUUAUUGGGCGUAAAGGGCGCGCAGGCGGCGUCGUAAGUCGGUCUGAAAAGUGCGGGGCUUAACCCCGUGAGGGGACCGAAACGGCGAUGCUAGAGUAUCGGAGAGGAAAGCGGAAUUCCUAGUGUAGCGGUGAAAUGCGUAGAUAUUAGGAGGAACACCAGUGGCGAAAGCGGCUUUCUGGACGACAACUGACGCUGAGGCGCGAAAGCCAGGGGAGCAAACGGGAUUAGAAACCCGAGUAGUCC